Molecule: ribosomal RNA, 456 nt
Filed under: uncultured Acidovorax sp.
Lineage: Bacteria; Pseudomonadati; Pseudomonadota; Betaproteobacteria; Burkholderiales; Comamonadaceae
Description: bacterial SSU rRNA
Rfam family: Bacterial small subunit ribosomal RNA
Source: RNAcentral
ACAAGCGGUGGAUGAUGUGUUUAAUUCGAUGCAACGCGAAAAACCUUACCCACCUUUGACAUGUACGGAAUCCUUUAGAGAUAGAGGAGUGCUCGAAAGAGAGCCGUGACACAGGUGCUGCAUGGCUGUCGUCAGCUCGUGUCGUGAGAUGUUGGGUUAAGUCCCGCAACGAGCGCAACCCUUGUCAUUAGUUGCUACAUUCAGUUGGGCACUCUAAUGAGACUGCCGGUGACAAACCGGAGGAAGGUGGGGAUGACGUCAAGUCCUCAUGGCCCUUAUAGGUGGGGCUACACACGUCAUACAAUGGAUGGUACAAAGGGUCGCCAACCCGCGAGGGGGAGCCAAUCCCAUAAAGCCAUUCGUAGUCCGGAUCGCAGUCUGCAACUCGACUGCGUGAAGUCGGAAUCGCUAGUAAUCGUGGAUCAGAAUGUCACGGUGAAUACGUUCCCGGGUCUU